Molecule: ribosomal RNA, 428 nt
Filed under: uncultured bacterium
Lineage: Bacteria
Description: bacterial SSU rRNA
Rfam family: Bacterial small subunit ribosomal RNA
Source: RNAcentral
UGGGGAAUAUUGGACAAUGGGGGCAACCCUGAUCCAGCAAUGCCGCGUGUGUGAAGAAGGCCUUAGGGUUGUAAAGCACUUUAGAUGGGGAAGAAGUGUUGGGGUUUAAGAGAUACCAGCAUUGACUGUACCCAUAGAAUAAGCACCGGCUAACUCUGUGCCAGCAGCCGCGGUAAUACAGAGGGUGCAAGCGUUAAUCGGAGUUACUGGGCGUAAAGGGCGCGUAGGUGGUUGUAUAAGUUAGAUGUGAAAUCCCUGGGCUUAACCUAGGAACUGCAUCUAGAACUGUAUGACUAGAGUAUUGUAGAGGGUAGUGGAAUUUCCGGUGUAGCGGUGAAAUGCGUAGAGAUCGGAAGGAACACCAGUGGCGAAGGCGGCUACCUGGACAAAUACUGACACUGAGGCGCGAAAGCGUGGGGAGCAAACAG